AAUAACAGGUCUGUGAUGCCCUU
Molecule: non-coding RNA, 23 nt
Filed under: Arabidopsis thaliana (thale cress)
Lineage: Eukaryota; Viridiplantae; Streptophyta; Magnoliopsida; Brassicales; Brassicaceae
Also listed under: 3 other names
Source: RNAcentral